GACGAACGCUGGCGGCGUGCUUAACACAUGCAAGUCGAACGGAAAGGCCCUGCUUUUGUGGGGUGCUCGAGUGGCGAACGGGUGAGUAACACGUGAGUAUCCUGCCCUUGUCUUUGGGAUAACUUCUGGAAACUGGGGCUAAUACCGGAUAGGAGCUCCUGCUGCAUGGUGGGGGUUGGAAAGUUUCGGCGGUUGGGGAUGGACUCGCGGCUUAUCAGCUUGUUGGUGGGGUAGUGGCUUACCAAGGCUUUGACGGGUAGCCGGCCUGAGAGGGUGAACGGCCUCAUUGGGACUGAGGUACGGAGCAGACUCCUACGGGAGGCAGCAGUGGGGAAUAUUGCAGAGUGGGCGGGAGCCUGAUGCAGCAACGCCGCGUGCGGGAUGACGGCCUUCGGGUGGUAAACCGAUUUCGCCUGUGACGAAGCGUGAGUGACGGUAAUGGGUAAAGAAGCACCGGCUAACUACGUG
This 468-nucleotide ribosomal RNA is filed under the name uncultured bacterium. Its description in RNAcentral is "partial 16S ribosomal RNA". It matches the Rfam family "Bacterial small subunit ribosomal RNA", at positions 28 to 507 of the family's 1533-position model. The record is from RNAcentral.